GACGAACGCUGGCGGCGUGCUUAACACAUGCAAGUCGAACGGAAAGGCCCUGCUCUUGUUGGGUGCUCGAGUGGCGAACGGGUGAGUAACACGUGAGUAACCUGCCCUUGACUUUGUGAUAACUCCAGGAAACUGGGGCUCAUACCGGAUAGGAUCUCUUGCUGCAUGUGGUGGGUUGGUGAGUUUCGGCGGUUGGGGAUGGACUCGCGGCUUAUCAGCUGGUUGGUGUGGUAGUGGCUUACCAAGGCUUCGACGGGUAGCCGGCAUGAGAGGGUGACCGGCCACAAUGGGACUAAGGUACGCCGCAGAAUGGAACGGGAGGCAGCAGUGGGGAGUAUUGCAGAAUGGGGGGGAGCGUGAUGCAGCAACGCCGCGUGCGGGAUGAUGGCCUUCGGGUUGUAAACAGAUGUGGACUGUGCCGAAGCGUGAGUGACGGUAAUGGGUAAAGAAGCCCCGGCUAACUACGUG
Molecule: ribosomal RNA, 468 nt
Filed under: uncultured bacterium
Lineage: Bacteria
Description: partial 16S ribosomal RNA
Rfam family: Bacterial small subunit ribosomal RNA
Source: RNAcentral